This 2403-nucleotide ribosomal RNA is filed under the name Triticum aestivum (bread wheat). RNAcentral's name for it is "partial small subunit ribosomal RNA". The record is from RNAcentral. Lineage: Eukaryota; Viridiplantae; Streptophyta; Magnoliopsida; Poales; Poaceae.
AUGAGCGGUGCUCCAAAAAGAUCGCAUGAGGAGGGUAGCCAUUCUACACCUGCGAAACGGCCUCUGGACGAUAGCAGCUUGUACUCGAGCCCUUCUGGGAAACUCAUUCAACCAGGCGGCAGUGAUUUCCAUGGUCCUUUUGAACAUGAUGGAAGAUUUGCCAAAGUACCACGUGUUGAGUCACGUGAUGAUAAGAGGCCACCUCUGACACAUCGGAUGCCUGUUGGCUCCUCCAACUUUGUGGACCACCCGACCUCAUCUGACAGCAGAUUAGAAUCAAAACAAAACAAAGAUGCACGGGACACCAAGGUUGACGACCGGGAGGCAAAAGCUGAUGCUCGGGAUGUCCAUAGUGAUAGCAGGAUUGAAUUUCCAGGCAAUAAAGCUGAGACUGAUGUGAAGACAAACAACAGAGCAGAUGACACUGAAAUAAGAGUUGACCGGAGGGCGCAUGGUGAUUUCACAGGUGAUGUUGUCAAAUCGGAUAAGGAUAGCCAUCCUACUGGAACUUCAAACAUAGCCUGGAAAGAUAAUAAAGACCAUAGAGGUAAAAGAUAUGUUGAUCAGCCAGAUGAUACUGCAGGAUGGCGUUUUCUUCGUCCUGGUAUGCAAGGCACUGAUCAAACUCUCAAGGUUCAAACUAUUGUGGAAGAGCGCAGCUCCAAGGAUGCACAUGAAUCUACUGGUGAGAAUAAAAUAGAACCUAAAAGUGAAGAUAAGUUUAGAGACAAGGACAGGAGAAAGAAAGAUGAAAAAUAUAGAGAUUUUGGUGCAAGAGACGCUGAUAGAAAUGAUCGCAGAAUUGGUAGUCAGCUUGCAGGUGGUAGUGUUGAACGAAGAGAAAUUCAAAGGGAUGAUCGGGAUGCUGAAAAAUGGGACAGGGAAAGAAAAGAUUCCCAGAAGGACAAGGAAAACAAUGACCGCGAGAAGGAUUCUGCCAAGAAGGAUUCAUUUGUAGCAGUUGACAAGGAGAACACAAUACUGGAAAAAACAGCUUCUGAUGGAGCUGUUAAACCUGCUGAACAUGAGAGUACAGCUGCUGAAAUGAAGACACUUAAAGAUGACACAUGGAAAUCUCAUGAUAGGGAUCUUAAGGACAAGAAAAGAGAGAAGGAUGUGGAUACAGGAGACAGGCAUGACCAAAGGAGUAAAUACAAUGACAAAGAAUCUGAUGAUACUGGUCCUGAAGGAGAUACAGAGAAAGAUAAGGAUACUUUUGGAAGUAUACAGCGCAGGAGGAUGGCACGCCCAAAGGGAGGUAGUCAAGCAUCUCAACGGGAACCUCGGUUCCGGUCCAAAAUGCGUGAUGGUGAAGGGUCUCAAGGUAAAUCUGAGGUAUCUGCAAUUGUAUAUAAAGCUGGUGAAUGCAUGCAAGAGCUUCUGAAAUCGUGGAAAGAGUUUGAAGCUACCCCAGAUGCUAGAAAUGCUGAGAAUCAACAAAAUGGUCCUACUCUUGAAAUUCGGAUACCUGCGGAGUUUGUUACUUCCACGAAUCGGCAAGUAAAAGGUGCUCAGCUUUGGGGAACAGAUGUUUAUACAAAUGAUUCAGACCUUGUGGCUGUGUUAAUGCAUACUGGUUACUGCUCCCCCACAUCAUCACCUCCACCAUCUGCCAUCCAAGAACUGCGUGCAACUGUUCGUGUGCUACCACCACAAGACAGCUAUACUUCAACACUAAGGAACAAUGUCCGUUCACGUGCUUGGGGCGCUGGUAUUGGUUGUAGCUUCCGCAUAGAACGCUGCUGCAUUGUUAAGAAAGGUGGUGGUGCCAUUGAUCUUGAGCCUCGCCUUAGCCAUACGUCAGCCGUGGAGCCUACACUAGCUCCAGUUGCAGUGGAGCGUACAAUGACAACACGAGCAGCAGCUUCUAAUGCAUUACGUCAACAAAGAUUUGUUCGGGAAGUUACAAUACAGUACAAUCUCUGCAACGAGCCAUGGUUAAAGUACAGUAUAAGCAUUGUGGCGGACAAGGGAUUGAAGAAGUCUCUUUAUACUUCUGCGAGGCUGAAAAAGGGCGAAGUCAUAUACUUGGAAACACAUUUCAAUAGUUCUCGCAGGUAUGAGCUGUGCUUCAGUGGGGAAAAGCCUCGCUCCAUUGGAUCAAAUUCCAAUGCAUCUGAUUUGGAACCGGAAAAACACCAGAACAAUAGCCACCACCAUUUGCAAAAUGGAGAUAGGGGCGCCACGGAACAUGAACUCCGGGACGUGUUCCGAUGGUCACGGUGUAAGAAGGCCAUGCCUGAGGUUGCCAUGAGAUCCAUUGGUAUCCCACUGCCAGCUGAACAAGUUGAGGUGCUGCAGGACAAUCUGGAGUGGGAGGAUGUGCAGUGGUCGCAGACCGGCGUCUGGGUUUCUGGGAAGGAGUAUCCGCUCGCCCGCGUGCAUUUCCUCUCGGCGAACUAG